CACUUCUAAGGAAGGCAGCAGGCGCGCAAAUUACCCAAUCCUGACUCAGGGAGGUAGUGACAAGAAAUAACAAUAAACCGGCUUAUGCCGGUUUAAUUGGAAUGAGUACAAUUUAAACAUCUUAACGAGGAACAAUUGGAGGGCAAGUCUGGUGCCAGCAGCCGCGGUAAUUCCAGCUCCAAUAGCGUAUACUAAAGUUGUUGCAGUUAAAAAGCUCGUAGUUGGAUUUCUGUGGGGACGGAGCGGCCGGCCGCAACUCGCGGUUCGAGCUAGCGCUUUCCCUACAUCCUGCCGCGAACCGUGCUACCAUUAGUUUGGUGGCGCCGGGGAUCGGCUCGAUUACUUUGAGAAAAAUAGAGUGUUCAAAGCAGGCCACAUGCCUUGAAUAAGUUAGCAUGGAAUAAUAACUAAGGACUUCGGUUCUAUUUUGUUGGUGUUCGGGACUGAAGUAAUGAUUGAUAGGGACAGUUGGGGCGGUCUGUAUUCCAAAGCGAGAGGUGAAAUUCUUAGACCUUCGGAAGACAAACAGCUGCGAAAGCGUUCCGCAAGGAUGUUCCCUUUGAUCAAGAACGAAAGUUGGGGGAUCGAAGACGAUCAGAUACCGUCGUAGUCUCAACUAUAAACUAUACCAGCUAGGGAUCGGCCAACGUUAUUUCAAACCGACUUGGUCGGCACCUUAUGAGAAAUCAAAGCAUCUGGGUUCCGGGGGGAGUAUGGUCGCAAGGCUGAAACUUAAAGGAAUUGACGGAAGGGCACCACCAGCCGUGGAGCCUGUGGCUUAAUUUGACUCAACACGGGAAAACUUACCAGGUCCAGACAUAGUAAGGAUUGACAGAUUGAUAGCUCUUUCUUGAUUCUGUGGGUGGUGGUGCAUGGCCGUUCUUAGUUGGUGGAGUGAUUUGUCUGGUUAAUUCCGUUAACGAACGAGACCCCAGCCUGCUAAAUAGCGCGCGUGAGCUUUGCUCGCGGCGAGCUUCUUAGAGGGACUCUGAUGCGCGAUAGCACAUGGAAGUUUGGGGCAAUAACAGGUCUGUGAUGCCCUUAGAUGUUCUGGGCCGCACACGGGCUACACUGGCGCCUGCAUCGAGCAUAUCAGCUGGCCCGAGAGGGUCUUGGCUAAUCUUUUGAACCGGCGCCGUGCUUGGGAUUGACCUUUGCAAUUGUUGGUCAUGCAACGAGGAAUGCCUUGUAAACGCGAGUCAUCAGCUCGCAUUGAAUACGUCCCUGCCCUUUGUACACACCGCCCGUCGCUCCUACCGAUGAAUGUUCCGAUGAAAUUUUCGGAGAGCACCUGUGAACUUGGCUCUGCCUUGCGAACGGGAGGCUCAAAGUCACUUAAAUCUGAACAUUUCGAGG
This 1356-nucleotide ribosomal RNA is filed under the name uncultured marine eukaryote. RNAcentral's name for it is "SSU rRNA". It matches the Rfam family "Eukaryotic small subunit ribosomal RNA", at positions 411 to 1779 of the family's 1831-position model. The record is from RNAcentral.